GAUGAACGCUGGCGGCGUGCUUAACACAUGCAAGUCGAACGAUGAAGCCCAGCUUGCUGGGUGGAUUAGUGGCGAACGGGUGAGUAACACGUUAGUAACCUGCCCUUGACUCUGGGAUAAGCCUGGGAAACUGGGUCUAAUACUGGAUAUGACUUCUCAUCGCAUGGUGGGGGGUGGAAAGAUUUAUUGGUCUUGGAUGGACUCGCGGCCUAUCAGCUUGUUGGUGAGGUAAUGGCUCACCAAGGCGACGACGGGUAGCCGGCCUGAGAGGGUGACCGGCCACACUGGGACUGAGACACGGCCCAGACUCCUACGGGAGGCAGCAGUGGGGAAUAUUGCACAAUGGGCGCAAGCCUGAUGCAGCGACGCCGCGUGAGGGAUGACGGCCUUCGGGUUGUAAACCUCUUUCAGUAGGGAAGAAGCGAGAGUGACGGUACCUGCAGAAGAAGCGCCGGCUAACUACGUG
RNAcentral lists this ribosomal RNA (466 nucleotides) under uncultured bacterium. RNAcentral describes it as "partial 16S ribosomal RNA". It matches the Rfam family "Bacterial small subunit ribosomal RNA", at positions 28 to 507 of the family's 1533-position model. The record is from RNAcentral.